This 606-nucleotide long non-coding RNA is filed under the name Salmo salar (Atlantic salmon). Its description in RNAcentral is "lncRNA (ENSSSAG00000096625.1)". Lineage: Eukaryota; Metazoa; Chordata; Actinopteri; Salmoniformes; Salmonidae. The record is from RNAcentral.
CUUCAUCUUCAGAAGGAGAGAUGCCCUGAGGCUGACGAGGGGAAGGAGAGAUGCCCUGAGGCUGACGAGGGGAAGGAGAGAUGCCCUGAGGCUGACGAGGGGAAGGAGAGAUCCCUGAGGCUGACGAGGGGCAGGAGACUUCAUCUUCAGAAGGAGAGAUGCGCUGAGGCUGACAAGGGGAAGGAGACUUCAUCUUCAGAAGGCGAGAUGCCCUGAGGCUGAGGAGGGGAAGGAGAGAUGCCCUGAGGCUGACGAGGGGAAGGAGACUUCAUCUUCAGAAGGAGAGAUGCCCUGAGGCUGACGAGGGGAAGGAGAGAUGCCCUGAGGCUGACGAGGGGAAGGAGAGAUGCCCUGAGGCUGACGAGGGGAAGGAGAGAUCCCUGAGGCUGACGAGGGGCAGGAGACUUCAUCUUCAGAAGGAGAGAUGCGCUGAGGCUGACAAGGGGAAGGAGACAUCAUCUUCAGAAGGAGAGAUGCCCUGAGGCUGACAAGGGGAAGGAGACUUCAUCUUCAGAAGGCGAGAUGCCCUGAGGCUGAGGAGGGGAAGGAGAGAUGCCCUGAGGCUGACGAGGGGAAGGAGACUUCAUCUUCAGAAGGAGAGAUGCC